Molecule: ribosomal RNA, 405 nt
Filed under: uncultured bacterium
Lineage: Bacteria
Description: bacterial SSU rRNA
Rfam family: Bacterial small subunit ribosomal RNA
Source: RNAcentral
AAGUCUUGACAUCCCCCUGACCGGUUCGUAACGGGAUCUUUCCUUCGGGACAGGGGAGACAGGUGGUGCAUGGUUGUCGUCAGCUCGUGUCGUGAGAUGUUGGGUUAAGUCCCGCAACGAGCGCAACCCCUAUCCCCAGUAGCCAGCAGGUAGAGCUGGGCACUCUGAGGAGACUGCCAGGGAUAACCUGGAGGAAGGCGGGGAUGACGUCAAAUCAUCAUGCCCCUUAUGAUUUGGGCUACACACGUGCUACAAUGGCGUAAACAAAGGGAAGCGAGAGGGCGACCUGGAGCAAAUCCCAAAAAUAACGUCCCAGUUCGGACUGUAGUCUGCAACCCGACUACACGAAGCUGGAAUCGCUAGUAAUCGCGGAUCAGAAUGCCGCGGUGAAUACGUUCCCGGGUC